Molecule: long non-coding RNA, 3169 nt
Organism: Ictalurus punctatus (channel catfish)
Lineage: Eukaryota; Metazoa; Chordata; Actinopteri; Siluriformes; Ictaluridae
Source: Ensembl
UGUGGGGUUGGCAUUUUAGGGUACAUCAGUUGUAUAGUUAUGUGCCGUAGCGAAACAGACAUGAACCUAAUCAAUUCAGUUUAAAUCAAUUCAGAUACUCGCUGCCAAAAUAUCCAUGAUGCUCCUGCACUGCGGUGAAUGAAAUCUUUCAAUACAGUUUUCUUUUUCACGUUUGAAAGUAACCAGAUGUUAACUUUGCUCGUGCUUGAGAUAUGAUCAUAAGUGUCCAGAGCUCUAUAUAGUAGAAAUGUCAUCAUGUCAAAGAAGUGUUUUCCCAGGCCACUGCCCAAAUAUUAUCCCAUCCAACUCAGUAUUUCAUCUUGUCCCAUAUCAGAAUACAUUGCACUUAAAAGGCAUGUCGUGGUGGAUUUAGUGAGCUGUAACCACUAAAUGGAUGCUUUUAAAAGAUUUACAUUCAUGCUUAAAACCUGUGCAGCUACAGUCGCUACAAAAUGUAUAUGCAAUGUCGCAAGGCCUGUGUUCCUAUAACUUAAUGCCGUAUACUAGCCUGAGUUUUGUGAUUUUGCUUAACUAUGUUAACACUGGUUUAGUGCACUUCACAAGUGUUAAGUUAGAAAGUGUAACUCUGUUGUAAUGUAUAUUUCCCAUAAUUCUGGGAUAUAUUUCAAUGUUUAUUAUGUGUAACUGUGUAAUCUAUAGAUCUAUAUCUGAAAUUUAGUCAUAUAUAGUUUUCUAUGCUGUACUGAUACUGAAUAUAUAAGUAUUUUCAUGAAGUACUGACCUCUAAAAGUGUAAUUAUGCACUUACUUACACGUAUAAGGCUGUGGAAAUGAAACUGGCACUUGACUUGUUUGGUUUCGUUCCUCACAGUCAGUGGGACAUGAGAGCAGAGAGACACAAACUUUUAUCAACCCGGGACUCCUGUUGGUUUUGGCACCAAAUCCUGCCUUUCUAUAGUUUUGUGGUUCUUAAACUUUGUGCAGCCGGGGACCCCUUAAACUGUCAAAUAAAUUCCACACACCACUACAGUACAGAUUUAUUUCAUGAACAUGAUCCUACUAUUUAAAUAUUAGGUUGAUUAUUAAUUACGUACAGUGAUAUUGUGACCGUUGUUUUUUUGGAAGCCUCAGGGCGAAUCUUCCACUGACAGAACACGUUACAGUCAAGCUGACAUUAUUUAUAGGCCAACUUUUUUUCGGCUCAUCGACCUAAGCGUGCGCAACCUGGUUGCAAAAAGACCUGAGUAGGUUAGCAUUCUGACGCUACUUCUAUAUUUUUCUAAGCUAUAGUCGGAAUGAAAAAUCUAUCAAGAAUUUCAUCCAAAAUAUUAAUAAAAUAUUAUCCACUUAUUAUUAUGGAUUAGCGCUUAAAGACAGGGAGUGCUAUUCAGCUGAAGUAACAUUUUCCAAUGAUGUUAACUCUAGAAGAUUUUUAUGGCUUGGCCCUGUGUAAGUGGCCAAAUUAUGCUAAGCGGUGAUCAAGUCUUUAUUGGCUGGAUAGACUGUAUAUACAUAUCUCAUAGAAACACUGAGCGUUUGUACUAGAGAGAAAUGAACGUAGGUGUGCAGGUCUCUUGAGGGAGGAUGUUGUGGCACAGAAAGCCACAGAGUUAGUUAGGAAAUGCAUCCAUUAUAGGCAUCUUCUCUGUAAGAACACAACCUAGCUAUCUAGCGUUAGCUAGCUAUUGAUGUAAAAUUUUAGGCGAGUUACUUUAGGCGGUUUGGGUAAUUAAUAUAAAUUGGGUGUGUUUGCUAACUAGCGAGUUACGUCUGUUAAACCAUUCAUGGUUAGCAAGCCAACUUUACUGAUCUGGUAGGUAGAUACGUCGCUGAGAUGUAACAGGGCCAGCGAAGACAUGGAGCUCCUCAGACCAGUUAUCUCUGCUAAAUGCCUUUAACCACAACUGGCUUGGAAAGGUGUCAAGUUGGACAGGAUGGGGGGGGGGGGGGGUAAGACCCCAAAUGUGUUUGACUGAUUUUACGAUUCUGACACCCAACAGCACAACACGACAUUUUAGAAAACUAAUUCUGGCUUGCUCUUCCGCUAUGUUUUUGCAAUCAGGAGGCGUGGCUGGCGUCGGUGUCCUGUCUGACUCAGGAAUCUACUGCUAUUAAUUCAAAUGACCAAUCAGACAGGUUAAUAACUAAGAAAUCAUUAAGUAGAAUAGCUUUUAUAAAGGUGGCUUAAAAAAAACGAGACAAAACAAAAACCCUGGCUAUGCUUCACGUACUCCAUUUUGAGAACCACUGGUUUCUAGAAAUGUGUUUUAUGCAGUAUAUAAAACAGUCUGAGCGAAGUCGCUGAAUGCUGGAUUCUUUACUCGUGUAACAUUUGUAAUCUUUAAAAUGACGUCCUUAAAUGCAUUUACAUGUUCAGUAAUGGUUUGAAAGCAUUAUGAAUCUAAUUGAAUUGAAAAGUUUGUCUAGUUUUUUUUCUUGAUUUACAUUUACAAAGAAAAAGUCUAAUUUUGUUGUCUGGAGGUGAGUAUUUUUGCAUUGCUCUUGCUAUUUUCGACACUUUUUUUUUUUUGGUCCAAGACGUUUAACAUGAAGAUGAGUUUUGCCAGAUGUAUUGGACACAGUACUGUAUGCAGUAGUCAGCUGUCUGUUCCUUUUUCUCUUUAUUUUUUUAUGGAAAUGAAGUGAAACAGACAGGAAAAAAAAAAACCCUGAACGAUGUAAAUACAUAUGUAUAUACAGAUAUUCAUAGUCUUCAGUCUUGAACAUGGAGAUAAUUCUAGUUUGAACCUUGUUUGUAAAUGCUGUGGUAGAAAAUGGAACUGGUAUUUUUGCAAUAAAGCGAUAUUGUGCUCUAAUGAGGAGCGAAACAGAAAUGCUUCUAACAUGGAUUUGAAUUUUUAUUACCUUUCACUGUUGAACCUCACCAAAUUAUGAAGUCUUUUUUGAAAAGGUGGCAAAUUCCAAUUAGCAUAGCUUCAGCAUGUCGUUAGAAUUCCCUUUUCAGAGACCUUAUUGCAUUUGAUAGUUAAAAACUGAUUAUAUUCACUGACUUAAAAAAAAAAAUUCCCCCGGCCGCAUGUUAUAAAUAUUUUUGUAUAAUGAGUGUUAUUCUUUCACGUUCAUAAGAACUUUUUCAAGCCUGAACUUGAAUAAACUACAUUUAAAUAAAUAACAUUUCCCUUAUUAAGCCCUUGAGCCUCAGAAAAUACUGUUUGAUUGGGACAAGGGCCGAGAGGUCGAAAGCUCCU